AUGGCGAAUAUUGACCCCAAGAGUUAUCUAUCAUUAUCAAUAUCAGCUCUGUAUCACUCCCCCACUGACCCCAGACCUCACCUGUCAUUAGCUCUGUAUCACUCCCCCACUGACCCCAGACCUCACCUAUCAUUAGCUCUGUAUCACUCCCCCACUGACCCCAGACCUCACCUAUCAUUAGCUCUGUAUCACUCCCCCACUGACCCCAGACCUCACCUAUCAUCAGCUCUGUAUCACUCCCCCACUGACCCCAGACCUCACCUAUCAUCAGCUCUGUAUCACUCCCCCACUGACCCCAGACCUCACCUAUCAUUAGCUCUGUAUCACUCCCCCACUGACCCCAGACCUCACCUAUCAUUAGCUCUGUAUCACUCCCCCACUGACCCCAGACCUCACCUAUCAUUAGCUCUGUAUCACUCCCCCACUGACCCCAGACCUCACCUAUCAUUAGCUCUGUAUCACUCCCCCACUGACCCCAGACCUCACCUAUCAUCAGCUCUGUAUCAAUCCCCCACUGACCCCAGACCUCACCUAUCAUCAGCUCUGUAUCACUCCCCCACUGACCCCAGACCUCACCUAUCAUUAGCUCUGUAUCACUCCCCCACUGACCCCAGACCUCACCUAUCAUUAGCUCUGUAUCACUCCCCCACUGACCCCAGACCUCACCUAUCAUUAGCUCUGUAUCACUCCCCCACUGACCCCAGACCUCACCUAUCAUUAGCUCUGUAUCACUCCCCCACUGACCCCAGACCUCACCUAUCAUUAGCUCUGUAUCACUCCCCCACUGACCCCAGACCUCACCUAUCAUUAGCUCUGUAUCACUCCCCCACUGACCCCAGACCUCACCUAUCAUUAGCUCUGUAUCACUCCCCCACUGACCCCAGACCUCACCUAUCAUUAGCUCUGUAUCACUCCCCCACUGACCCCAGACCUCACCUAUCAUUAGCUCUGUAUCACUCCCCCACUGACCCCAGACCUCACCUAUCAUUAGCUCUGUAUCACUCCCCCAGACCUUAUCUAUCAUUAUCUUUUUGGAUUUGA
This 1041-nucleotide long non-coding RNA is filed under the name Gadus morhua (Atlantic cod). RNAcentral's name for it is "lncRNA (ENSGMOG00000035119.1)". Lineage: Eukaryota; Metazoa; Chordata; Actinopteri; Gadiformes; Gadidae. The record is from RNAcentral.